UGAUGCAGAUAGGCUAGGGGAUGGGUUGGAAACUCUGUAAGGAACCCGGCUACAGCACCAUUAGAUCUGCUCCCCUUCAACUACUCAAGGGUAAUAUUUCGCUGGUUCCUUUUUAUUCCAUAAUUUCCUGAUGUAAGAUUUGUGAUCUGGAAUUUGACUCUUCUAACCACCUAUUUGAGAUCUCCUUUUCCUAGUUGCAGUUCAUCUAGAUCAGGAGUAAGAUCAAUGUCCUUUGCUCUUAUCAAAGGUAUGGUUCAUACUUCUAUGUUCCGAACUGUCUCUAAAUUUGUACAAUGAAUAAUUUCAACUCAAGUUUCCCCUUUAAGCUGCAAUAUUAUGCAAUCUCCAACAUGCUCAAGAACAUCUAAUAUGUGACUAGACUCUACGUUCAGAGUAUUAACAAUGCAACUAUACUAGGAAUAGCCGAGGGCUUGUAUCAUGGGCCAUACCAUAGUUACUAGCCGCUGAAAAAUCUAUAUACUAAAAGGUUCAUUCAGAUGCUAAUACUGCUCGGUGGAACAGAAAAUGAUUAUGUUAUUCUGUAAUAUUUUUUCUCCAUGUGAACACUUGUCAGUAUACUCUGUCUCUUAUGUUUUAUUCCCCUAUAACGCAGGCACAUUAAUCGACUGCUCACCGUAGGUAGCAGGACUGGGUUUGCAAUAUCAAGAUAAUCUUAUCGACCUUGCUAUGUUGGUAAAGUCUGAAGCUUAAACUUUUUACUAACUUCUCCACUUUCUGUUUUCUUACAGUCCAGUACUUGACAAUUCCUUACCUGGUUGUGUAUGCCUACCAUUUAAGCUCAUCGUGUCCUUCGUUUGUGCAUAACUUGUAUUUUUAUUUGUUAUAUUUAGAUUGAGUAAUCAUCGUACAACUCCAGUGCACGUACACAAUUAGUUGUAGCUGUUGGGGAAGGUGAGUAAGCACACAACUGAUUAAAAUAGUGUAGAUAGUACUAGUACUAGUUGCUUAUGGCACGUAGUUGUACAUAAGGUGAUGAACGGCCAAAUUCAUAGCAUGUCUAAAUCAAUUCAGAGAUGAGAAAACAUACAGUUAAUAGAAAUAAUGUGGCAUGUAGUGGUUGGGUGAUGACCUCCAGAUAUUGCAUUAUUCUGAGAUUGUUCAGUACAUUGAAUGGAUGAAUGGCUAUCACUUCUUACUAAAGAAACAUUUUUGUGUUUUGAUCUACGAUUUUUUAGUACAUUACCGAUCUGUUUUUGUAGUGAUGUGCUGAUCUAAACUUUUGUAGUAACCAAAGCGUCAAACAACUAUACUUAUGCAAGGCCCUGUUUGAUAGCUCUGUAUUUUCUAAGUAUUCUAAAAAUACUAUAGUUUUUAGGAUUACCAUGGUUUUAAUUACUUUGAGCUAUUUGACAAGACCUAAAAACUAUGAUAUUAAUUUCCAAUACUAUGGUAUUUUCUCUGUUUUAAAAAAAGAACCUCAGACCUCUUUUUUUAAAACUGAGCACGUGAAGGAACAAACUCAUCAUUAUCUUUGGUCGCUCCGAAGCCGCCGCCGGCAGCCCCAUUGUCUGUGGAGGUCGUCUUGAUCGGGCGGCCAUGGACAGAUCAAGGAACGGCAGUACAGUGCGGUACGAACUGCCAUGGUUGAUGGGGCAGGGCAAGCUGCUCCGGGCAACACGGAUGAAAGCCAAGUUUUCCAGUUCACGAGAAGCUUCGCCGCAUGAUCCGUUGCCGACACCACCGUCUUGCGGAGCUUUAGGUCAUACCUCCACGCACACCUCUUGGUGAUCCGAGACGCGAAAAGAAAACCAAGCUGCUCGGGGCAACGCGCAGCUCCGCCGUUGACUGCCUCCUCCUAAUCCAAUUUGCUCUGGUAGGUGUAACACCGAGAUUGUGCAUGCCGUGUUUAGCUUGGCCAUUCAGUUAGUGCAUGAUCAUACAUCUGUGCUAAGUGCAUGCCCGUUAAUCAGUUUAGAUGUGUCUAGCUAGCUCAACGCACCGUUCGAAACUGCUUCAAACGGCUCUUGCCAAACACGUGCACAGUAUUCUAAAUACUUUCAAAUACUCUGUUAUGGCAAAACUAUGGUAUUAUGUAUCUAUGAACUCUGUGUUUGAUAGCAAAGUAUUAUAUAAACCAAAGUAUCAAAAACUACAGUAAUUUUGCAUGUAGGUGUGAGAUACCAUAGUUUUAUCAAAACAUAGUAUUUUGCAGUAUUCACAAUACAUAGAACCUGUUUGGCUGUUGUCGCAUAACGCUGUAAGUUUUGUUGUUUAGCUGUUGCGUUUGAGCACCCAGCAGCUAUGUUUUUUAAAAAGAGGUUUGGGGUUCUUUUUUUAUGCAGAGAAAAAACUUCAGUUUGCCCAAUACUACAGUAGUAAAAGCACAGUUGUUAGGGGCAACCAAACAGCUCAUUGUAAAUAAAACUAUGGUAAUCUAAAAAACUGUAGUAUUCUCAAAAUACUUAGAAAAUACUUUGCUAUCAAGUAGUUUGCAAUACUUCAGUUUUUAUAAUACUUUGUUAUCAAAUGGUCAGUAGAUUACUAUAAUUCAUUGUCAUAUGAUGCCCUACUGGACUCACUAGUCAUUCACAUGCUACUUAGAACUUUAAGUAGCACACUAGUUAAAAGUGCAGCAGGGAUCGAUGUAAAUUUUUUUGACUAACAAUUUUUAUAAAAGUUUGUGUCUUCUUGUUUUGCCAAACUAAUAUACCGUAUCAUUGGCCCAUCUGCUUACCCGCAAAUCUAGUUAAUAAUGUACUCAGAUUCGUAAUUUGAUAGAUUAUUAUAUGCUUUUUAGUGGUACUGUUAUACGUUUUUAUCUUGUAUGUUUUCAUCUCAUUAAGAUGCAACACGCUGUUGUGUUUCCUCAGUUUAUAGGCAUUGGGGGGAGUUAGCUGUGAGAUUUGAAGCACAAGACAGAGCACUUGAAGAGAUGCAAAGGAAGCAUCAAGAAGAAUUGGAAGCUGUGAAGAAGAGCCAACAAAAGAAGAAUGAAGCCUGGGAAAAGAAGCAAUACAUGAUACAGUUAACCUGAUUGGUUUUCUAUUGAGGGCUCAAGCAACUCAGAAAGAUUCCAUUGUCUUGUGUAUUGUCGUGUCAAACUUGAUUCGGUGUUAUUUUUUAUUGUCAUUUCUAUUUAGAGGAUGAUUUUCCUAAGAGAUUGAAUAUAUAAUAUGAUUUGUCUUUCGUUUCAUAAUGUGAUUUGGCUCACAAUUUAUUUAUAUAAUGUGAUGUGAUGUGAAUUAAAUACUUAUUGUUGAAAUGCAUUUGCAAUAUAGUGGAUCUGAUAAUUCAUUGCAAAUUAUUCAAAAUAUAGUAAAUGUAUUUUGAUGAUGUCAUCUUCAUCAAUAAUGAAAGUAGUGAUGCUCGUAGUGGGGUAAUCUGUGCGGGUGUUGAUGUGGCAUAAAGUCAGUAACGUUGCUCCAUCAUUGAAUAUUGUACAACAUGG
This 3409-nucleotide long non-coding RNA is filed under the name Triticum aestivum (bread wheat). RNAcentral describes it as "long non-coding RNA (TAES_LNC005239)". The record is from RNAcentral. Lineage: Eukaryota; Viridiplantae; Streptophyta; Magnoliopsida; Poales; Poaceae.